GGGCUCUUAGCUCAGUUGGUAGAGCAGCGGACUCUUAAUCCGUUUGUCGUAGGUUCGAUCCCUACAGGGCCCA
This is a non-coding RNA of Lampropedia hyalina DSM 16112, 73 nucleotides long. NCBI's taxonomy places the organism in Bacteria, Pseudomonadati, Pseudomonadota, Betaproteobacteria, Burkholderiales, Comamonadaceae. The record is from Rfam.